UAGGUGUGGAGUCACUCUUAAUAGAUUUUGCAACUUGCCUUGUACCAUUAUAAACAUUACAUUAGGUUCCCUAGCUAGCUAUGAGCCUGUUCACAGCAACAACAAAUGGGUCAGCAUUCCAGCUGCACACGCACAAAAAAACGUUAUGAAUUUUCCGAGGAAUAAAAAUGUUAAUCUAUACAGGUAAAGGUUCCUCGUUCAAAACACCCCCCCAUUUCCAUUCUCCAGGACCGGUCUACCAGCGGGUAUACUUGUCUGCAAAACGUUUUUAAUCAGAUAUUUUAACAGCCUCAGUUAAGCGUUGUGUUCAACAGUGGCUCCGAUGGCGCACGGCUAUACAAAAGUAUCGUGUUCUGGUGAGUACUAAAUUACCUUAGGUCAUGACUUACAACCAGUAUGGUGUAGUCUUUCUUUAGGUCCCUCAGGAGAUUCACAACAUCAGCCCGAGCUUUCCAAUCUGAUGAUGAUGAUACAAAUUUAGUAACCACAUCUAAGAGAGCAUAUACUAUUUAAAAGAAAAACUAUUUGACACCACACAAUAUUCCUGGCAAGUCUGGGCUGUGGCACAAAGAUGACAGGAUGCACAAGCAGAAUUAUAUUAAACAACUGCUCUCGCUGAUGUGCAUUUAGAUGGGUUCACAAAUGGAUCAAUACAAGGGGAAGAAAAUAAUCUACAGAUAUUAGUUUGAUAUGGAUAUUUCAAGUACAUACCAAGUCCAGCGAGGGGCUCAUCAAGCAACAAUAAAUCAGGAGUUUGAACCUAGAAAAUAAGAAGAUAAAGGCAAAAUAUUAUCCAUCUUCACUUCUAAAAACAGAACGAUCCACCUGUCCUAAAAUAAUGAAAACAUUACCAGUUGAAUUGCCAAAGCAAGUCGCCGCUUAAACCCACCACUGAGAGACUGUGGAUCCUUAUCCAAUGAAAUGGCACUUUGACCAACCUAGCGUUAAACAAAUUAUCUUCAGAAAUCAAUUGUGUGUGGUCUCAAACUACAAAUUCACUCCGCAACGCAACAAAAUGGUAUGUAUGAGAGAUAAUCAUUACAGAGUUAAUGACAUUCUGAAGUUUUAAAGUGAGUUGCCCCCUCAAAGGAAUGUCUGCCUUUUGCCUUGGCCAUCCAAAAGUAACUUCUUCAAGUAUAGUAUCUGAUAAGAAGUACCUACAGGUUUAAAAUAUCUUAUUUUGCAGUGAAAUUUCUCAAGCACUCACAAAAAUCAUAAGCAUUCAUGCUAAUAUGUAAAAAACUUAUUAGUGAAUGUAGUAAUUCAAUGUUCAAACCUCUCAGGAAACUGAAAUACAAUACCGACUCUUUGAGGAGCUAACACUUCCGACAGACCCAUUGGAUUUCCACUAUCAUCAUACUUCUGAAUGCAAAUUGAACCAGAGGUAGGUUCUGAUAGACCGGCCAAAAGCUGAGAAAUCAAACUAUCACCUUAAGAUGAAAGAUGCAGAGUUAAACAUGUCAUGCAGCAUUUCAAUGCAAACCUGUAAAAGAGUGGUAUUUCCACUCCCACUCCGUCCAAAUAUCAAACCAAAACUGCAUGAAUUAGUUGUCUCGUCAAUACAAAAGGCAUCCAAGAAAGACAGCUAUUACAAUAUAAAACGCAUGCUUUCCUUUUCUCCCGGAGAGAGAGACUAGUUUGAUUCAAUAAGUUUCGCUCAGUUCCAGGAGGUCGGUAGCUGACUUUUCUAACCUAAACAAGUGAAAUUCAAUAUACGUCCAUGUAAUGUAAACGCAAACCAUGGUUGCACGGAUGUUAUACAACGUACGGUAUAUCUGACAGUAGCAGUUCCCCAAACAAUGGACUAUUUGUUUAACAUAUUUGAGUUACAAACAACUUGUAUUCAAUCACCAAUAUUUAUUAUCGACAUCAAAAUUUUAAUCCAGCUAUUAUGUAUGUCUCCUAUUAAAAUCCCAAUAGGCAAGGACGAAAGUACUACAUGUGCAUCAUAUACAAUAACACUGAAGGACAUAACAAAACAACAAUUCAGGAUACUUAACUACUGGAUUAUACCGAUUACGGAGUGCUACCUAGCUUUUGUGUGAUAAGAUGCUAAGAUCCUGGGCUUGAAGAUCCGUAUAAAGAUUUAGUCAGAAGAAACGUAAUGAAAUCCAGAUUUUCAACAAAAACUAGGGCCAGAGUUGAGGGAGAUUCCUCAGUUUGGUGAUUACUGAGAGUUAAACAAGUGAACUCACACAUCACAAACAACCUAUCAGAUCUAAGAGUAAUGAAUCUUACCCGCAGACAAAUGUUCGCCAACUUUAUCAACAUUAACACUACAACUAAAUUGUCUCUCUAGAUUAAAUAUAAAAAAAUUGUCGAGACAGAACUAGGAAAAAAUCCUCAUACCACAAAAGAGGGGCAAGAAAAAAAAUCACCUCCAACUGGGAGUACCCAGCUCAGACCCGUUCUGCUCGACAUCUCCAAGAAAACCUCCUGGAAACCAUCAAGGGACGCAAAGGAUAAGAGACCGAAAAAAGAUGAGAGCACACACGGUUCAAGGAUAAGAAUGGCAUGCCUUGUCAUCUUAACCGGACAAGAUGAAAUCGCAGGAGGGAAAGCGACAUGGGCGAGCAUAGUUUCUAAGUGGUGGGGAGCUUCAGGAAGCGGGACUCGAACAGACGAGGGACUGGAAAGUGCAGAAGUAUGGUCAGAUGGAAACUGAUGUGCAGCAAAGUGAAACAAAUGCCUCAGUUUCAAUUCAGGAGAACAAUGUCUCACAAAAAAGAUCAAGAGCAGGAAGAUUGCAAUUCAUCUAGUAGCAGUUCAGCUAUAAGCCCAAUGUUGUCAAUGGCAUGAUAAAGUAACAAUUAUGUAAAUUCACAUCCUAUAGUGAGAUGAGAUGAUAAAGCUACAGUUGAUGCUUACAAUCAACUUCCUCGUGAAACUUCUGAAAAUGGAGGCAGCAAGUUCAGUAUUGUCUACACUCUACAAUACCAAAGAAGCUACUGUACUUCAAACAAAAGCCUUAAGCUUCGUUGUGGUUUCUUCACAUUUCGUAACCAAGAACGAUGCUAUGUCAGGAUUACUGCUAAGUUCAGUUUUAUAACUAACAAUGACACUGCAACUGCAAAGCCAGACAAAACUACCUAGAAUAGUGCACUAACAUUGGUGUUGCUCAGUUCCGGAUUACAGAAAAUCCACCGCAUCUGCAUUGAACAGCGGCCAAACGUGCUAGCUCCUGGUGUGCAGCUAGAAAAUUUUCUCACCAGAGUCAGAAAACGCAGACUUCAGACGGACUGGGACUCGAGGUUCCAAUCCUGGCCGCCAAUGGAGCAGGGAGGAGAUGGGAGCGUCGAACGCCGCCGUCCUACUGCCACGAUGGGGAGGGCGUCGGCCCGCACUGGCUCAGCGUUGACCAGGGAAGGGCGUUGAGCAGGGAAAUCGAGGGGGCGUCGGGCGUCGCAGUCCUGNNNNNNNNNNCGUUCCGGGCAGCGGUUGGUUCAGAGUGGUGCGAUUGCCGGUGAAAACCGUGUCGACCUCGGUCAUGGCGGAUGAUGGCGGCGUCUUGUACGUCAUCUCCUUGUUGAAGGCAUCGUUGGUUGCAAUCGCCGUCACCUCGUUCUGACUGCUCUGGGGGAAACCCUAGAUCUGGAUUCCCGGAUCGAACGAUGAGGGGGCCUUCGGGGUCGUCCUCCCUCUUGGGGGCAUCAUUUUGGGGCUGGUGUUGGAACGAGAGGACAACAGGAGGAGCGUUGUUGUGUCUGCCGCAACGACGACAACGAGUAUCGGCGGCAUGGCGCAGCGGAGCCUCGACGACGAACGCGUGUUGAUGAGCGCGCACAGGUGGUGGAGCUUUUCUGGUGUUGUGGUGAAGUCGACGACAGUAUGGCCUGGCAAGCUGAAUGUGUUGGCCGCUCCUGAAGAUUGGAUGGCGGAAGAUGGUUGCGGCGGGUCCAGAGCGUGCGCAUGCGGUGCGCGCUGCAGAUCGGCCAGUCCAGGUGGUGCUCUCGGCCUAAUGCGGGGCAGCUGCAUGAGGCCAUUGGAUUAGAUAGUGCAUGUUCAUGCGGUUCGGACACAUUAUCAAGAGUAUAGGUGCUGCGACUUUAUUCGCCGGAUAGGUGACUUUGGGUUGAUCCAUGUAUUCAAGUUAUCAGACUGCAUGCAUCGAUCGAUGUAGAGGCCGGGGGUAAUCUUUUUUUUUUUUAAAAAGUUUGCCGUGAGAAGCACUUUGUCUGAAGGAUGCCUUGAUCCCCUUUUAUCUAUUGUAUGAACUCUCACGGUGGAAAGGGGGUAUGGACCAAUGGAGGGGGGAGGGAGAAAAAGGGUCAUACUUCUGAAUGCAAAUUGAACCAGAGGUAGGUUCUCAUAGACCGGCCAAAAGCUGAGAAAUCAACCUAUCACCUUAAGAUGAAAGGUACGGAGUAAAACAUAUCAUGCAACAUUUUAAUGCAAACCUGUAAAAGAGUGGUCUUUCCACUCCCACUCGUUCCAAAUAUCAAACCAAAACUGCAUGAAUUAAUUGUCUCGUCAAUACAAAAGGCGGUCAAGAAGUAUGACUGUUGAGAGAGAGAGAGUGUGUGUGUGUGUGUGUGUGUGUUUUUGAUUCAAUAAGUUUUGCUCAGUUCUAGAAAGUCGCUAGCUGACUUAAGUGAAGUGAAGUUCAAUAUGCGUCCAUGUAAAGGAAAAUCAUGAUUGCAUAAAAGUUAUACAACCUACGGUAUAUCUGACAGUAGCAGCUCCCCAAACAAAUGGAUUAUUUGUUGAACAUAUGAGUUGUGAAUGGUGGACAGAUUGGGUCGAGCAAACAAUUCGAUAAAGAGAAGAAUAGCUUAUGGCUUAGAAACAACGAGCAUUAAUAUGAAAUCCAUGGCUUGAUUCUUAAGGUGAUUCCGCACCCGAGACAUACUAUUUGAAAGCCCUUGCUUUACCAAACUGGAGCAUGAAACUUUCAACCAAAUAGGAGGGAGCCGAAAGAAGAGACAAAUGCCAACGAUCUCUAGAGAAUUAAAAAGAGGUGUGAAAAGUGUAAGGGGUCAUCUUCAACUAGUAGCUAGAGCCAUUCACUUUCAUAUUUCACUAGAAGGCCGGGCUUUGCUGCGUCAUUGGCGUUGUUGGGUUUUUCGAAAAAAUAAUCACUCUGUUUCAAAAUAUAAGUUGUAUUACCCUUUUCAAAAGUCAAACCUUUUAAGUUUAAUCAAAUUUGUAGAGAAAUAUAUCAAAAUGCAUAAUAUCACAUCUGUAUUUUUAAAUUCAUCAUGAAAUGAAUUUCCAUACUUUUUUGUUUGAUAUAGUGGAUGUCGAUAUUUUUGCUCUGAACUAGGUCAAAGUUAAAGAAAAUUUGACUUUCUACAAAACUAGUACCCUUUAUAUUUUGGAACUGGUGAAAGAUUUACUUUGCCCGGUGGGAGGGGAUGACAGUGUGUGUUUUGUUUUUGUUUAUAUACAGUGAUUUGGUGUCCUUUUCAUGGUGUGAUUACCGCCAACCAAACUAUAUUUAUGUGGGAAAAAAUUUGUGUCGAUGGUCGCAUGUACUAUUAUAUUGGUGCUAUAAUAUCACAUGGUGGUGUUUCUUUUUUCUAGUUGGUGGGAGGUGAGCGGGGUUAAUAUGUUUUUAUAGGCUGAUCGCCGCUGAUUGAUUUGAAAAAAAUCAUAGGCCCGAUGAAAAUCGUAAACCAAAUCCAAAAUUGAAUACCUUAAUUGAAUGAAAGAUCUUCAAAAUUGGGGAACAUAAUGAAUUAAAAGAAUUGAAUGUGAGAGUUUGAGAAAGUGUUGAUCCGGUCAAAAUCGAUUGACCCCAUUCUAAAAUGAAUUCCUCAAUUAAUUGUGAGACCUUAAGAAUUAGGAAGCAUGUUAUAUACAGUAUAAAAGAAUUCAAUGAGAAAGCUUUGAACAAAUGUUGACCCGGUUAAAAUCGGAUGACCCAAUUUUAGUCGAAAACCUUAAUUAAAUGUGGACUCUUUAAAACUAAAAAGCUUAGUGAUAUAGAGGAUGUUUAUGGAUGGUAGGCUUUUGGUGCCUCACAGCGAAGAAAUUAUGGUGGAUAGGUAGUUGGAGGAAGAGCCGUAGGAUAACAAUCAACAAAGUAGCAGGCAGCCGCGGCAUAAGAACAGUUAUGUUUUCUAACUUUCCCCAUCAAUUUUUCCCAAUGCUUCCUAUUCUUAAGUGGGACACACAUCAAAACUAUAUGGCUCCUAGCUUCAUGUUCUUGGCUUCUCGAUUGUUGACACGGCUGCUGCGUAUCACUUCACUAGACCAUUUUUUAUUAGAUGAGUGAAUAGUGUGUAGCGAAGACUCAAGCAUAUGGAUGAUAUAAAAAGACGGCGCAACUGCAUUAUGGUUGAAUGGGUACUUAUAGAUGUGCAAGGAAAAGGUUUGCGGGUGCAUUUCUUUUGGCGGUUUGCGGGUGCAUUUCUUUUGGCUAGUCUCUUCAAUAAUUAAGAGUACUUCUGCAUUAACUUGUGCACAUGAGCAGACGACAUGCAAAAUAUCAUUCGAUGACUAUUGACAAAUAUCCACUGGGUAAGAGCAUCUCCAGCCCUUGGCCUCCCAAGAGGCAUAAAAAUCGCCUUUUGGGAGCGAGCCGGAGAUACAAUCGGCGUUGGGGGCGGUUGGGCGUCCAGUCGUCACCCCCAGGUGUCGAGAUUGGCCCAGUUUUCGGCCCACUUUCGACGAAUAAAGGCCCUAUAUGGGCGAGAAUCGGCCCAUAUUCGGCAUGGUUCGUCGUGACUCGGCGUUCAAUUAUGAACAUAAAUAUAUUUUUAUCACAUAGUUCAUCAUAGAAAAUCAAAUAGUUGAACAAAAUAGUGCAACAACAAAUAGUUCAAUACAAAUUAUAUAGUUGAACAAAUAAAAACUCAUAUUUCAUCACACGUCGAGCCCGGCGUCGCCCUUGAGCCUCCAUAGGUACUCCACCAGAUCCUGCUUCAGUUGAUGAUGCACCUGUGGGUCUCGGAUCUCCUGACGCAUACUGAGGUAGGCAGUCCAGGUUGCCGGUAGCUGGUGAUCAACUUCGGCUAGAGGACCCUGCCUAUAGUAUGGUUCAGUGUCAAACACUGGCACUUCCUGCUCGCUCUCGAUGAUCAUGUUGUGUAAGAUGACACAGCAAGUCAUGAUCUCCCACAUUUGAUCUUUCGACCAGGUCUGAGCAGGGUAGCGGACAACAACAAAUCGAGAUUGGAGCACACCAAAAGCCCGCUCGACAUCCUUCCUGCAAGCCUCCUGCACCUUGGCAAAGUAGGACUUCUUGCCAAAUCCAGAGGUCCUGUGUGGCCACCGCCUCAAGUACCACAAUGCAACCGACUUUCGCGUAUUUGUACAUCCCCUGCCAAGCAAAUGGGUAGUUCUUCCAUUUUCAAUGCAUGCAGUCGAUGCUUCCAAGCAUCCCAGGAAAUCCUCUUGUUGCAUUCUGUGCUAGGAUCCGAGCAGUGUCUUCCGCAUUGGGUGUUUGCAAGUAUUGCGGUCCAAACACUGCCACGACUGCCCGACAGAACUUGUAGAAACACUCAAUAGUUGUCGACUCGGCCAUGCGCCCAUAGUCGUCGAGCGAAUCACCGGGAGCUCUGUAUGCAAGCAUCCUCAUCGUUGUCGUGCACUUUUGGAUCGAGAUGAAUCCAAGUUUGCCGGUGCAAUCCUUUUUGCACUUGAAGUAGCUGUCUAACUCCCGGAUGGAAUUCACAAUCCUGAGAACAAGCUUUCGGCUCAUCCGACAACGGCGCCGAAAUAUUUUGUCGCUGUGCAGUGGAGCGUCGGCGAAGUAGUCGGAGUAGAGCAUGCAGUUGCCUUAGAGAUGAUGUCGGUUCUUUGCUUUCAUCAGCCCCUGCGCCGAGCCACCUCGCCGCGGCUUUUCAUUGCUCGCCAGCAGGGCGAGCGGCGAGGACCAUGAGAUGUUUAUCUUCCUGGACGUCAGCCUCGGCUUCCUCCUCCAGCAGCGCGAUGAGCGCGUCCUCGUCGUCUGAGUCCAUCGCCGAGGCAGGCAAAUCGCCGAACACCUUGCGCCCGGUGGGCGCGUACCCGCCACUAAACUGCCCCUCCGCGGUCGAAAACGGCUUGAAAAACGCCCUGCUGCUGGUGGAGGGGCUGCCUCGGCGAACCUCUACUCUUUUCCCGGCGGGGAUUGGCUAUCUAGCGGUGAAGGAUGGUGGGCGGCGCGGGGAUAUAGUUGUUGGCGGCCGAGCGCGUGGGGGGUGGGAGGCGAGUCGGGGAAGAAAAACUUGACUUUUCGCCUGACGGUGUGGGCCGGCCGUGCUUUUCCCUUGCGCCGGAACCCCCGAGCGCCCCCCCCCCCCAGUGCGCCGGGUUCGGCCUGCGAUCGUCGGGCCCAAAAACAGGCCGAACCGGCGGAUUUCGACGUCCUGAAAGCGCGACUAGGGUGUUUUUUCGGCACCGGCGCCGAAAAAGUGGCCUGAGGAGGCCUGUUGUGGGCACAGCUAAAAAUGCUCUAAGGAGUUGAUCUUACUUAGAUUUUGCAACAUGCCAGUACUUUCGCUUUCUAAUAAAAUAAAAUAAAUAUUUACACUAGUAGAUUUCUAGCUGGCCAUGGGCAUGUGACUGCAGAACAAAUGGGUUAGCAAAUAUAGUACCCCCUUCGUAGUGAUUUAAAUGUUUUUAUAUUUCUUUAUGAAAAAAGUAACAUUCUAAUUGCACGAAAAUUUUCAUCCUAGCUGGCUGCGAAGCACAAGAAACGUGCGGCUUCAAAAAUCUCACAUCAAAACCAAGACUUGAGGUGCUGCGUGCUUGCGUCGCACCGCAUGUGGAGUGGGACACUGCAAAGUAUACCCACGUGGUUGCAUGGGCAGUGAUCUGUGCCAGUGCACCGGCCCAACUGUUGGGCCGGUCUAGCCCAAACCGUCAGAUCCAGUGCGCUUCGACCGUCCGAUCUGCUUGUUGACUUUCAUCUCCUUCGUUUUCUUCGUGCGCUGCGCAGCCGCCGCCCCCUGCUCGUGUGGAUGUCAUCCCUUCCGCCGACCGCCACCCCCUCGCCUGGAACUCCUCCCUCCGUUGGUCGCCGCCCUCGUCGCCGGUGCUCGCCGCCCUCGUCGCUGCUGCUCGCCAUCGCAGCACACAGUCCUCGCCGGUUCCAGCAAGACGGCGUCGCCAUCACGCCCAACGUCCCUAUCCUUGCAGCACUAAGCCGUCGCCGCCAUAUCACGUCCGUCGCGGCACCACCCUGUCGCCGGCCGCAACUCUGACCGUCGUCGUCGAUGCUCGCUGCUCGAGGUUGCACGAACAAAGGCCGUCCAAAUCAACGCCAUUUAGAUAGAUGUAGCAAAAACUUCGCCGGUGGUAGCAAAAAAUAGCGACGGUUGCAGCAAAAUCAUUGUCGCCGUUGUCUAGCGUCACAUCUGAGCCAUUAAUGGAUGUAGCAAAUUUUCUCGUUGGUCGUAGCAAAAGCCGACGACCGUUGCACAAAAUAACCUCCGUCGUCGUGGGGACGUAGCUCCGUCAACGAAACAUACAGCUGGAUGCAGCUUUCCAUCGUAGCAAAAAUGUGUCGUUGAAUGGAUGUAGAAAAAAAAGCAUCGGUCAUAGCAAAAAAUGACAACGUUUGCAGCAAAUCAUCGUCGUCGGUGGCACGAGGUCACAGCUCCGCCGUGAUGGAUGUAGCAAAAACCCUCGCCGGCAGUAGCAAAAUCUAUCUAUGGUUGAAGCUUUUUUAGUUGGGCAGUGCCGAUUGAAGCUUUUCUAUCUAUGGUUGAAACUUCUUUCAACUGUGGUUGAAACUUUUCUAGAUCACGGAUGCAGCACUGUAUACACGCGGUUCCGGCCAUGACAGCAGGUAGCUGUGGCAUCUCUGCUAUCCUAGCAGCAGGCAGUCGUUGCAGUUUGAUGACAACAGUAGUUUCAGCACCGUCGGUCAUCUUUACGUCGGCCCCGAUCCAUGCCGUUUGAAGCACCGGUGCAAGCAGCUAGGAGUAAAAACAUCAAAGCUUCGUCGUUCAUGACGAGGAAGAAAGAAGGCUGCGAGGGAAAGAAAGGACAGGAUGCGGAGAAGAAGAUAAAGUUGUUUGAAAAAAAUAUUAUAUGUGAGCCUGCCUAUGUCUAGCGCGGGGGAUCGCUAGACCCACAAUCAAAAGGGAUCGCACGACCCGCACGGGUCCCGCCGAAAGCUUCGGCCGGUCUGCCGGCUGGAAACAUUUCCCUGGUUGCAUUGCAUGGGAGCAUGUCAUGCGUGACUUGUUUUGCGCAGAGAAGGAACGAAACAAGAGUCUGCACGCACGGCCGGUGAACGAAACAAAAGUCUCUCGCGUCGACCCGUCCACACAGCACAGCGGCUUUGCAAAUUCACUCCGCUGACUUCCAAACAGCACCGCGGUUGGGAGGCCGACCACGCGAGCUUCAAGUCUCCGAGGACUAAAAGGUGGUCGGCGCCGGCACUGGACUAGCACCAGACCGUCUCCGUAGGCCGGACAGGUAUUCAGAGACCGUACGUACAUUUGCAAUUUUGCGUGCGUGCUUCGUAGAGUUCUCAAAAGAUCAAGAUCGAAGAGCACGCACGUUUGCUUCCUGGAAUGGAGAAUCGCGGCGCCCGCUGCACAGCUUGUUUGUCGCCAGUGUGGUGGCUCUUGUUUUUUUUUAUUUGCAAAAAUAACUCAGAUCUAUUAUUAAAGUACAAAGCACCUCAAACAUAAUAAAGUUUACAUCAAAAUAUUAAGACUAUCGAACGAUUACUAUCACUGUCAAAACGAGCCGCUGAUGCGUCAUCGUCAUGGCUCUCGUUGACUUAAGAUCUUCGCCGCACGCUUCGUGCGGUGCGCCGAUGCAGCGUGGCCCAUGCCGUAAAAGCAGAAAUAUCACAAGUAUGGCCGUGUCUUGGGCAGCCAUCGGACAUGCAACACCUUUAAUGUUGCUUUACGUCUAAUAUUGGUGAAACAAACCUCACGGCAAUGUAUUUUUCUUGUGUUUUGGAUGUGUGUGUACGGAAGAACAAUCAACGUGGGGCAAGUCAUCUGAAAAAAUUAUUUUCGUCAGUCAAUUCCUAUCAACCGUUGGAUAGUACAAAAACAAAGGUCAAGAUUGCAUCUUCAACCUCCUGCUGCUUGCUUCUUCAACUUCAAACUGCCUCGUUGCCGCCUGCUUCCGCCGCCCGCGGCCCGCAGCGCUUCGCGCACACUCGCCACACCGCCCUCCCCCAACCACGGCCCACCGUCGUGCUGCUGUCCAUCCAUCUAGCCCCGAUGCCGAUGGAGAUUUUUCCCGGCGACCUUGCACUACCGCCGUGCUGCCACCCCCACCACCGCUGCCCUCCGGCGAACUUCUUCGCCCUUCUAAAAAUCGACUGACCCAAAACCGAAGUCGGUGAACUGAUGACAUUUAGCUAAUGUGUCUAUUGACCCAAAACCGAAGUCAAUCAACUUGUGACAUUUAGCUAAUGUGUCUAUUGACCCAAAACCGAAGUCAGUCGACUGACAUUUAGCUAAUGUGUCUAUUGUUUGUUCAAGUGUCUGUUCAAGAAGCCUUUCUUUCUUCUUUGUUCUUCUUCGUGUUGGCUUGUCCGUACCCGAAACAGAACAUGUAAUUCUUGUUCUGCUCGUUCUGGAAGGUUUUGGAAGUUGCGGAAUCAAUCCCGCCUAGGGCCCUCAUCUUUCGUAAGGUUCUAUGAUGCCGAAUCAAUCCAUCUUGUGGCCUGCAUCUUGUAAUAAUCACGGUAAAUGCUGAAUCAGGCCCGUACUAAAUGAUGUUAAACACGUCGGAUGCUAUGAUGGCCAAUCGCCAUGUUCCUCCCCGUUCCAAAUACACGUAAUAUCUUGCCCUCUCAUGUUCGGCAUUAAUGGAGAAAAUGAUGAAUGCGGUCAGGACUUCAGUGGUACCCAUUCCGGCAAGAUUUACCGCAUUCCAGAUCCGUGGGGUUUUGAUUUCGGGAUCAGCUAGAGCUAGAAGCAGAAAACACGUGUUUGCAAUCUACCCUUGUCUUAUGUUUUUUCAUGUUUUUUGUGGUAUCUCCUGGCGGGUUUUCCCUAGUAUAUCGGACGUACCAGUGAACUAUUAAGCCGUAAAAAGAUGACUUGCAUUCGUGCAUAAUCCAUGGUUUCUUGCAAACUGUUUGCUUGUAUUUUUCACUAGAGAAACUCAAAUGAUGCAUGGUUUCUUGAAAUUAGUAAGUGUUUUAAAAUACAAGUGAUCUUUGGGGAACUCGCAUUUCACAAGCACUCAACAUUGGAGAUACUAGGCUUGGCACGCAUAUGCUCACCCGUCACUAAACACUUCCCCUGGAUUUGGAAGCAACGGGCCACGAUGUGUCUCCGGUGUGUAGCUAUAUCCCACUAGCUUUCAUAUGUCUCAUCGAAUGAUCGGAGAGGGGAAUUUCCACAAGAAUAACACAUGAAGGGACGAGCGAGCUGAGCACAGGGAUGAGUUGCUUGUUGAGAAGCUCGAUGCUCCUUGUGCUGGCAUAUCCGGCCGCGGAAGGAAUAUCAUGGCCAAAUCAAGAGGAUGGCCAAGUUGUUGGGGUAAAAGGUGUAGACGACCACUGGAGUAAUCGGCAAGAUGCCGGAGCAUGAGAAUAGUGUCGUUUUCUAUCCUUCUCCAUCAAAUUUCCCCAAUGCAUCUGAGGGAGUCCUGGAUUAGGGGGUGUUCGGAUAGCCGGACUAUACCUUCAGCCGGACUCCUGGACUAUGAAGAUACAAGAUUGAAGACUUCAUCUCGUGUCCGGAAGGGAUUUUCCUUAGCGUGGAAGGCAAGCUUGGUGAUACGGAUAUAUAGAUCUCCUACCAUUGUAACCGACUUUGUGUAACCCUAACCCUCUCCGGUGUCUAUAUAAACCGGAGGGUUUUAUUCCGUAGGACAACAUACACAACAACAAUCAUACCAUAGGCUAGCUUCUAGGGUUUAGCCUCUCUGAUAUCGUGGUAGAUCUACUCUUGUACUACCCAUAUCAUCAAUAUUAAUCAAGCAGGACGUAGGGUUUUACCUCCAUCAAGAGGGCCCGAACCUGGGUAAAACUUCGUGUCCCCUGCCUCCUGUUACCAUCCGGCCUAGAUGCACAGUUCGGGACCCCCUACCCGAGAUCCGCCUGUUUUGACACCGACAUUGGUGCUUUCAUUGAGAGUUCCUCUGUGUCAUCGCCGUUAGGCUCGAUGGCUCCUACGAUCAUCAAUAGCGAUGCAGUCCAGGGUGAGACCUUCCUCCCAGGACAGAUCUUCGUCUUCGGCAGCUUCGCAUUGCGGGCCAAUUCACUUGGCCAUUUGGAGCAGAUCGAAAGCUAUGCCCCUGGCCGUCGGGUCAGAUUUGGAAGUUUAAACUACACGGCUGACAUCCGCGGGGACUUGAUCUUCGACGGAUUCGAGCCACUGCCGAGCGCGCCGCACUGUCACGACGAGCAUGAUCUAGCUCUGCCGCCGAACAGUGCCCUGGAGGCCGCACCCGCAUCGGCUUCGACCCUUAAUUCGGAGCCAACUGCGCCGAUCGAGGAUGGGUGGUUGGACACACCAUCAGGGGCUGCGAUCCCAACGGCGAUCGAGCCGAACACCAGCCCCGCACUCCGCGGGACUCAUGACUCCAAGGAGCCGGACUCCUCUCCGAACUCCGAACCCCUCACGCCCCUGCCGAUCGAAUCCGAUCGGGCGUCGAUCAUGGAGUUUACUGCCGCGGACAUCUUUCAGCACUCGCCUUUCGGUGAUAUUCUGAAGACACUAAAGUAUCUCUCUUUAUCAGGAGAGCCCUGGCCGGACUAUGGUCGGCAAGGUUGGGAUACGGACAAUGAAGAAAUUCAAAGCCCACCCACCACCCACUUUGUAGCCACUAUCGACGAUUUAACCGACAUGCUUGACUUCGACUCCGAAGACAUCGACGGUAUGGACGCCGAUGUAGGAGACGAUGAAGAACCAGCGCCUAUCGGGCCCUGGAAAGCCACCUCGUCAUAUGACAUAUACAUGGUGGACACCCCAAAAGAAGGAGAUGGCGAUGGAACAGCGGAGGAUGACCCCUCCAAGAAACAGCCUAAGCGCCGACGUCAGCGGCGCCGCUCAAAAUCCCGCCAAAACAAAUACGGUGAUUCCAGCACGGGAGAUAAUAAUACUCCGGAGAGUGCCGAAGAAAACCCCCUCUAGCAAGAUUCAGCACAGGAGGAUGGAGAAACCGGCCCUCAUGAGAGAGCGGCAGACAGAGAGGUCAAGGACGAUAAUCAUAUGCCUUCCUCCGAAGACGAGGCAAGCCUCGACGACGACGAAUUCGUCGUGCCAGAGGAUCCCAUCGAGCAAGAGCAUUUUCAACGCAGGCUUAUGGCCACGGCAAGAAGCCUCAAGAAAAAACAGCAACAGCUUAGAGCUGAUCAAGAUUUGCUAGUCGACAGAUGGACUGAAGUCCUUGCGGCCGAAGAGCAUAAACUCGAACGCCCCUCCAAGAGCUACCCAAAGCGCAGGUUGCUACCCCGAUUAGAGGAGGAAGCACUUGAUACGGCCGACCGGCCACCUCGUGGCCGCGACAGAGAGGCCUCUCGGCCCUCCACUCAAGCCGCACUCCGUACCAAGGCACGGGAAAAUGCGUCAGACCUACGAGAUAUGUUGGAGGACAAGGCAAGGCAAAAAAGAUCGAUCUACGGAUCGCGCGGGCGCCCCACGACUCGAGACAAUAACCAUCACGCCGGACAUAAAUCCGGUGGGGCCGAACACAGUAGACAAAGCUCAUUGGAGCUACGUCGUGAUAUAGCCCAGUACAGAGGCGUCGCACACCCACUAUGCUUCAUAGACGAAGUAAUGGAUCAUCAAAUUCCCGAGGGUUUCAAACCCGUAAACAUCGAAUCAUAUGAUGGCACAACAGAUCCUGCGGUAUGGAUCGAGGAUUAUCUCUUCAUAUCCACUUGGCCCGCGGCGAUGAUCUCCACGCCAUCAAAUACCUCCCACUCAAGCUUAAAGGACCAGCUCGGCAUUGGCUUAACAGCUUGCCAGCAGGAUCAAUCAGUUGUUGGGAGGACCUGGAAGCCGCAUUCCUCGACAAUUUCCAGGGCACUUAUGUGCGACCACCAGACGCCGAUGACCUAAGCCACGUAAUUCAGCAGCCAGAGGAAUCAGCCAGGCAAUUCUGGACAUGGUUCCUAACAAAGAAAAAUCAAAUAGUCGACUGUCCGGACGCAGAGGCCCUAGCAGCCUUCAAGCACAAUAUCCGUGACGAGUGGCUUGCCCGGCACCUAGGACAGGAAAAGCCGAAAUCUAUGGCAGCACUCACGACACUCAUGACCCGCUUUUGCGCGGGAGAAGACAGCUUGCUUGCUCGUAGCAACAAUAUGACCAAGAACCCUAGUAAUUCGGAUACCAGGGACAGUAGUGGCAGGUCGUGUCGCAACAAGCAGAAGCACCGCAUUAAUGGCAACAAUACUGAGGAUACGGCAGUUAAUGCCGGAUUCAGAGGCUCUAAAUCCGGUCAGCGGAAAAAGGCAUUCAAAAGGAAUCCUAGGGGCCCAUCCAGUUUGGACCGAAUACUCGACCGCUUGUGCCAAAUACAUGGCACCCCCGAAAAGCCGGCCAAUCACACCAACAGGGAUUGUUGGGUGUUCAAGCAGGCAGGCAUGUUAAAUGCCGAAAAUGACAAGGGUCUGCAUAGCGAUGACGACGAAGAGCCCCGGCCGCCGAACAACAGUGGACAAAAGGGUUUUCCCCCACAAGUGCGGACAGUGAACAUGAUAUACGCAACCAACGUCCCCAAAAGGGAGCGGAAGCGCGUGUUAAGGGACGUAUACGCGGUAGAGCCAGUCGCCCCAAAGUUCAACCCAUGGUCCUCCUGCCCGAUCACCUUUGAUCGAAGGGACCAUCCCACUAGCAUCCGUCAUGGCGGAUUCGCCGCAUUGGUUCUAGACCCAAUUAUUGACGGAUUUCAUCUCACUAGAGUCCUUAUGGACGGCGGCAAUAGCCUGAACCUGCUUUACCAGGAUACAGUGCGGAAAAUGGGCAUAGAUCCCUCGAGGAUUAAGCCCACCAAAACGACCUUCAAAGGCGUAAUACCAGGUGUAGAGGCCAACUGUACAGGCUCAGUCACACUUGAAGUGGUCUUCGGAUCUCCGGAUAAUUUCCGAAGCGAGGAGUUAAUCUUCGGCAUAGUCCCAUUCCGCAGUGGCUAUCACGCACUAUUCGGGCGAACCGCAUUUGCCAAGUUCAAUGUGGUACCGCACUACGCAUACCUUAAGCUCAAGAUGCCAGGCCCUCGAGGAGUAAUUACGGUCAAUGGAAACACCGAACGCUCCCUCUGAACGGAGGAGCACACGGCGGCCCUUGCAGCGGAAGUACAAAGCAGCCUCUCCAGGCAGUUCUCCAGUCCGGCCAUUAAACGUUCGGACACCAUCAAGCGCGUCCGGAGUAACCUACAACAAGACCGCCUGGCACAUUCCAAGCAGGCGUAGCAAUGCAGCCCCAACCCCAGCCCUCGCAAAAAUGCGACACCAGUGCUUCGCGCACAUAACUACGAUCUAGAAAUACCAUGGGUACAGGGGGAGGGGAACCAUCAUGGCAUGCCCGAAACACGGCUUAAACCGCACCAGGGGCUGCCAAUUUUUUAAUUUUCUCUUACUUUUAGGACUCCAUUCUUCGGAAGGCCUGUUCGGCAGUUCAAUUGUCGCACAAACAAUGCAAGAACCAGGGAAGCAGACAAGCCAUGCCGCAUUACAGAACUCCCAGGUGGUCUCUAUCACGAGCAGUAUACCUGUUUCGCAUACCAUUCCGCAGCCUGCCCCUGGAACGGACAUGUUAAAUAGUCCAACCUUUUGCUUACCGCAUUAUUUGUAUCGUUCUGCUUUGAUCGCAGCCCUUUUUAAUAAACAAUGCAUAGCUUUUGUCUAUUUUUGCAUUACUCUUUUUCUAUAAAUAUAUGUUCCUUAACGACAUGUUGCACCCGUACACUUUGGUACGGCCAAAAUACGCCAGGGGCUUUAGUACCCCUCAAUACGGUGUGAAAAGUCCGAACACUUUGACAAGUGUGGCACCCCGAACUUAUAGCAUUAUAUGCAUCGGCUCCGAAUCAUGUCUUGGGUCAAUAGUUGGGUUUGCCUGGCUCCUAUGUUUUGGUGCCUUACGUUCCGAUAUAUCGGCUAAGGUAGCACUAGGAGAACCACUGCGAUUGUGCCCCAGUUGAGCUGGGUCGAGCACCUCAAUGGAGAAAGCUAAAACUGACUGUCAUGAUGAAGCGAGAGCUGGUCGUUGUUCGAGAGGUUUUUCGAGUCCCUAAAGACUUAUGCCGCUUAGAGCGAGGAGUCGGCUCUGUCCGGCCAAGGCGUGGAUAGCGCCCUGAACUCGGUCUUUCAAAUACCAGGGGCUUCGUCGAAAUUUAAAAUUAUAGAAUUUUAUGGCUAAGUGAGAGUGUUCACGCAUUAUAGUCUGAUUGCCUUGUUCGUUGGGCUGAGCGCCUCCCUCGAAGGACCCAAACAUGGGGAAAAGAGCGCUCAGGUUUAUCCCCGAACACCCCAGCACUAGUGGCACGGGGGCAGAAGCCGACGACUCGCCAUCUCUUAGAAUUGAUAAACAGUCGCAUAGAAGGUAAUAUUUUAAAUUCCAACAGCAUUGCUUAGCGCAUAUGAACAAGUUUUCAGCGCACAGGACAAAAUGAGUAAGUUUCACUCAAAAAUUACAUCCCUAGAACAUUCACCCGCCACAAGGCAGGCACCCUUCAGAACAUCCUUAUAGUAAUUCUCGGGCUUGCGAUGCUCUUUCCCCGGCGGUGGCCCGUCCUUCACAAGCUUCUCAGCAUCCAGGUUGCCCCAGUGCACCUUAGCACGGGCAAGGGCCCUACGGGCACCUUUAAUGCAGACGGAGCGCUUGAUGACUUCGAGCCUCAGACAGCCCCCACCAGCCGCCGCACCAGCCCGAAAUAGCUCCCAGGCAGAGCCUCUCCAGGCCACAGCCGAACUAUGAGGCCCUUCAUGGCUUGUUCUGCUGCCUUGUGGAGCUCGACCAGUUGCUUCAGCUGGUCGCUCAGGGGCACGGGGUGUCCGGCCUCAAUAUACUGAGACCGGAACACCUUCUCUGUCGAGCUGCCCUCCUCGACUCGAUAGAAUGCGGCAGCAUCGGACACACUCCGGGGAAGAUCUGCGAACGCUCCUGGAGAGCUCCGGAUUCGGGUAAGUAACAAGUAAAUCACGUUUAUGUGUUUGCUUUGCAUAAAGAAUGCCUUACCCGCCGCUAUCUUCUUCACCUCAUCCAAUUCCUGGAGGGUCUUCUGGGAUUCGGCCUUGGCAGACUUGGCAUUUUCAGUAGCCGCCGCGAGCUCGGACGCUCGCGUCUUUGAGUCAAGCUCCAAACUCUCAUGUUUUUUCAUGAGAACCUGGAGCUCUUGUUGUAGCUUGCCAACCUAGGCCUCGUACUUCUCCCGCUCGGUGCGCUCCGUGGUCGCCCUCUUCUCGGCCUCGACCAGCGCUUGCUUAAGGGUCGCCACCUCAGACGUGGCCCCUACAAUAGCCACGAUAAUCCUGUCAUUUUUUGCAAUUGCACCUUUUUAUAUAUAUUUAAAUAAGGUAUUUCUUACCUUCAUUGUCCUCGAGCUGCUUCUUGGCACGCCCGAGCUCUUGCUCGGACCGCUCGAGGUUCUGCUUUAGCGUGUCGGCGGACGCCAGCAGGGAAGCCUGCAUACGCAUAUCGACUCUUUUUUGUUAGACUCCUGCGAAUUUUGAUCCUCUAUUCGGCUUUUCUUCCCGAACGCCAAACAGAGCAUUAGGGGCUACUGUCUAUGCGGUAAUAUUAUUUACACAUUCUUUACUUACCUCAAAUCCUGUUAAAAGGCUAGUACAAGCUUCAGUCAGUCCGCUCUUGGCGGACUAAACCUUCCAGACCACCGCACUCAUAAUGGUGCGGUGCUCCUCAUCGAUGGAGGCGCCUUGGAGUGCCUCCAACAGAUUGUCCGGCGCCUCCGGUUGGACGGGGGUCACCGGCACGGUGGGCUUGCUCCUCUUGGAAGGAGGUCCCCCGCCGGACUCUGGAACCUUUGAAGGUUCCGGAGCGGUGUCCGGCCUAGAGCCGGACUUGGAGCCCUGGGGGGCUUUAUCCCCUUUACUCCUGGAGUUCGGGAGGUCGCCUUGCGGUGCCUCCAGGACCUCCUCCUCCCGGCUUGGAACCCGUUGAGACAACACUUCAGCGUCGUCCGUAGGGCGGGGGGAGGAAGCCGUCGGAAGCGAAUUCACAUCCGACGAGUCCAGUGAACCGCUCGACGAUGCGUCGAGCCGGUCUUUGGGUGGGCUGCAUAAUCAUAUUCGACAUAAGGGAAAGUUGUGCAAUAAAGGAAUACUAUGAAUUACUCUGGUAUCCGGAUACUUAUGAUUUCGCUAGGGGCUUGGCCCUGAGCGGUCACUCUUCUCCGCCGUCAUCGACAUCGGUGGACUAGUCCGGAGGAAGGGUUUUCCCCUUCUUGGAUCCUUCGGCCUCCCUAGAGAGGGCGGCCUUUCUCUUCUUCUAUCCCCCCGCUGGAGGGGGAGAGGUCUCUUCUUCUUCCUCCUCGUCUUCACGGGAGGAAUGCGCCUCAGAUCCGUCGGAUGAUAAACCCGACACCUCCUGGCGCCGGGCACUCUUUCGAGUCCCCGUGGCCUUCUUUGUGGCCUUCUUCUCUGGCGCCACAUAGGGUGCCGGAACCAGCAGCUUUGCCAAGCGAGCAUCGGCUGGGUCUUCGGGCAAGGGAGCCGGACAGUUGAUCUGUCCGGACUUCGCCUGCCAAGCCUGUCAAAGGUAAGGGAGGUUAGAUCCCGCAUAGAUUCAAACUAUGAAAAACUAAUACUCUGUAAAAGGUACAAACAACUUACCACGCUAGCGUGACGCUGCGCGCUAAAUCCGCGAUCCUCGGUAGCGGAUGCGGGAGCCUCGGCGCCCUUGAAGAGCACCUUCCAGGCAUCUUCAUACGUCGUGUCGAAGAGCCUGUUCAGAGUUCGGUGCUGCGCCGGGCUGAACUCCCACAGAUUGAAGGCCCGUUGUUGACACGGGAGGAUCCGGCGGAUGAGCAUAACCUGGACUACGUUGACAAGCUUGAGAUGCUUGUCCACCAGGGAUUGGAGGCAUGUUUGCAGUCCAGUCACCUCUCCUUUUCUGCCCCACGACAGGCCCGUCUCUUUCCAGGACGUGAGCCGCAUUGGGGGUUCGGACCGGAACUCGGGGGCUGCGACCCACUCAGAGUCGCGCGGCUCGGUGAUGUAAAACUACCCCAAUUGCCACCCCUUUAGGGUCUCCACAAAGGAGCCCUCGAGCCAUAAGACGUUGGGCAUCUUGCCCACCAUGGCGCCUCCGCACUCCGCCUGGUUGCCGCACACCACCUUCGGCUUGACAUUGAAAGUCUUGAGCCAUAGGCCGAAAUGGGGGCGGAUGCAGAGGAAAGCCUCGCACACGACGAUAAACGCCGAGAUGUUGAGGAUGAAGUUCGGGGCCAGAUCAUGGAAAUCUAGGCCGUAGUAGAACAUGAGUCCCCGGACAAAUGGGUGGAUCAGAAAGCCCAGUCCGUGGAGGAAGUGGGGAAGGAACACUACCCUCUCAUGGGGCCUUGGUGUGGGGAGGAGCUGCCCCUUUUCGGGAAGCCGGUACGCGAUGUCGUUAGACAGGUAUCCGGCCUUCCACUUGCCUCCCGCUCCGGACAUGGCUGGAGAAGGUUGAGGUGGGGAGUGCGGACUUGGGUGCUGGAGCUCGAGUGCGCGAGAGUGGAUAGGCAAAGGAGGAAGAAGGCGUAGGUGAAAAGGUGGAUCAUUAUCCCCUUAUAUGGGUGGACGCAACUACGUGUCCCCACCAGCCUAGUAAAACUCGCUUAUCUCCAAGCGCCGUAAUCAAUGGCGCGGUUGGGUUACCCACGCCCGUAUUGAUGAGAAUCCCGGAAUAAGGGGACACGAUCUCUGCUUUAACAAGACGUGCCAAGGAAACCGCCUCGCAUGACGCGCUGAGGUGGGAUAAUGAAACGACUCGGAUAAAGGCUUGGUCGUGGUGUGUCGCACUACGGAAUACGUUAGCAGAUUAGAUUUGUGUAAAUAUUAUUCUCUCUAUGGCAAUAUGUGGAAACUUAUUUUACAGAGCCGGACACUAUCUUUGUGUUCAAAAUCUUCUAUGAAGUACUUGGAGGAGGAACCCGCCUUGCAAUGUCGAAGACAAUCCGCGCGCCGGACUCGUCGUCAUUGAAGCCUGGUUCAGGGGCUACUAAGGGAGUCCUGGAUUAGGGGGUGUUUGGAUAGCCGGACUAUACCUUCAGCCGGACUCCUGGACUAUGAAGAUACAAGAUUGAAGACUUCGUCCCAUGUCCGGAAGGAACUUUCCUUGGCAUGGAAGGCAAGCUUGGCGAUACGGAUAUACAGAUCUCCUACCAUUGUAACCGACUUUGUGUAACCCUAACCCUCUUUGGUGUCUAUAUAAACCGGAGGGUUUUAGUCAGUAGGACAACAUACACAACAACAAUCAUACCAUAGGCUAGCUUUUAGGGUUUAGCCUCUUUGAUCUCAUGGUAGAUCUACUCUUGUACUACCCAUAUCAUCAAUAUUAAUCAAGCAGGACGUAGGGUUUUACCUCCAUCAAGAGGGCCAAAACCUGGGUAAAACUUUGUGUCCCCUGCCUCCUGUUACCAUCCGGCCUAGACGCACAGUUCGGGACCCCCUACCCGAGAUCCGCCGGUUUUGACACCGACAGCAUCCCAUUCUUAAGACACACAUCAAAACUCUGGUUCCUAGUUACAUGUUCUUCCAUUUUGGCUUCUCCUUAUUUAAAAUGGCUACUAUGUAUCAUUCCACUAGACCUUUUUCUCUCCUCGGUGCUUUGCUUGGGUCGUUACCACAACCACUUCGCUAUUGUAGAUGGUUUGAUGAAUCAAUAUUAUGCACCGAAGACUCAAAUAUGGGUGGUAUAUAAAGAUAGCAAAAAGUGCAUUCAUGGUCGAGGAGUUGCGCACUGAAAGGUUCAUGGGUGCAUUUCAUUCGGUCAGACUCUUCAAAUUACUUUAACUGAGAGCACCUCUGUAUUUGUGCACAUGAAUAGAGCAUACGUAAAGUAGCAUCCUACUAUUAUAGACAAACAUCCAGCGAGUGUAGAGUCACUCCUAAUAGAUUUUGUAUCAUGCCAUUAUACUAUUUGACCAAAGCAGAGAGCUAGGUUACAACAUGUACGAGAGUCAACACAUGAGCUCUCUCUCUCUCCCGAAACCCAUCUAGGGUUAGGCCGCCUCCAGCCUCUCCCUACCGCCAUCGAAUCACCACCGAACAAAGCCCGGGCGGGGGGAGGAUGGCAGCGAUGGGGCAUCCCUCCCACAUAGUUAUGGGCGUGGUUGCAGCGGCUCUCGUGUGGCGUCCAGGUGGAGAUGGUGGUGACCUUGGCUGGCGGUGUUGGCCCGUGGUGGAGGGCACCUCAUCUUCGGUAACUUCGGCCGGCGCAGCGGCUUCCUGGAACAGUACAUUGGCUAUUGAAUGUUGUGGCAUUCACGACGGCAUCCUGAGCAGUCAUAUUUGGCACAUCGGCUCAGUUGGCGGUGAGGUCGGUGCCUCCCUCAUUGUGGCGGCGCCCUCAUCACUCAGGAAGUGUUUGUGCUAGUGUGGGGGUGGCGACACUUGCAGGUCUUCCCGCAUUCGUUUGGCAAUGUGGGGGUGCGGAGGAAGAUUUGCUCCGGACAAAAGUUGACAUUGCGACGCCUGCGGAGGUCACACUCCGCCUGGGGGUCAUUAUCGAGCUCUUCUACAUCCUCAGCUCUCGGGUCACAUCUUCGGGUCAAGGUCGAGUGGCGCGAGAUUCCCUCUUGAGGGUGUCGCCUUGAAGUUUGUUGUACCCUGGGUGCUUUCCUAGGGCUGGACUAGCACGACAUCGUGGCCAAGGUGGAGCAUCGUAGCAUCUACCGCAUCGACGACAAUGAGUCUCAGUGGUGUGGUGCUGUAGGGGCUCUAUUGGGAAACGUAGCAUGGAAAACAAAAAAAUUCUACGCUCACGCAAAGAUCUAUCCGUGGAGAUGCAUAGCAACGAGGGGGAGAGUGUGCCCAUGUACCCUUGUAGACCGAAAGCGGAAGUGUUUGACAACGCGGUUGAUGUAGUCGAACUUCUUCUAGCUCCGACCGAUCAAGCACCGAACGUACGGCACCUCCAAAUUCUGCACACGUUCAGCUCGGUGACAUCGCCUUAUUGAUCCGGCAAGGUGUCGAGGUUGUAGAUGAGUUCCGUCAGCACGACGGCGUGGUGACGGUGAUGGUGAAGUGAUUCGUGCAGGGCUUCGCCUAAGCACCGCGAGAAUAUGACGGGGGGUGUAAACUAUGGAGGAGGCGCCACACACGGCUAACAAUUGAUGUUCUAUAUGCUAGGCGCCCCUCCUCAUAUACAUAGGUGGGAGGGAGAGGGGAGAGGCCAAGGGGUGCCCUAAGUGGGGCCGAAACCCACUUGGGCUCCUGCCCUGGUCCCCCCCUUCCUUGUAUAGGCGCCAGGGGAAGGAAGGGGGAGGUGGCGCCCCCCUUCCUUUCUCCCCUGAGGAGGGGAAGGAAUGAGGGACUUGCCCUCCCACUUUUCCGUUCCCUAGGGCUGGCUGGCCUGGUGGAGGGGCACACCAGCCCCUUCUGGGCUGGUCUGUCCCUCCCUUGGCCCAUUAAGCCCAUAUCUUUGCCGGGGGUGCCCGGAACCCCUUCCGGUGACCCUAUAUGUACUCGGUACCCUCCGGAACACUUCCGGUGUCCGAAUACCAUUGUCCUAUAUAUAUCAAUCUUUACCUCUUGACCAUUUCAAGACUCCUCGCCAUGUCUGUGAUCUCAUCUGGGACUCCGAACAACAUUCGGUCACCAAAUCACAUAACUCAUAUAAUACAAUAUCGUCAUCGAACGUUAAGCGUGCGGACCCUAUGGGUUCGAGAACUAUGUAGACAUGACUGAGACACCUCUCCGGUCAAUAACCAAUAGUAGAAUCUGGAUGCUCAUAUUGGCUCCUACAUAUUCUACGAAGAUCUUUAUCGGUCGAACAGUUAUGAGAACAUACGUUAUUCCCUUUGUCCAUCGGUAUGUUACUUACCCGAGAUUCGAUCGUCAGUAUCUUCAUACCUAGUUCAAUCUCGUUACCGGCAAGUCUCUUUACUCAUUCUGUAAUACAUCACCUAGUGACCAACUCCUUAGUCAUUUGCUUGCAAGCUUAUGAUGUGUAUUACCGAGAGGGCCUAGAGAUACCUCUCCGUUACUCGGAGUGACAAAUCCUAAUCUCGAUCUAUGCCAACCCAACAAACACCUUCGGAGAUACCUAUAGAGCAUCUUUUUGAUCACACAGUUACGUUGUGAUGUCUGAUAUCACACAAGGCAUUCCUCUGGUAUCCGGGAGUUGCAUAAUCUCAUAGUCGAAGGAAUAUGUAUUUGACAUUAAGAAAGCAAUAGCAAUAAACUGAACAAUCAUUAUGCUAAGCUAACGGAUGGGUCUUGUCCAUCACAUCAUUCUCCUAAUGAUGUGAUCCCGUUAUCAAAUGACAACUCAUGUUCAUGGUCAGGAAACCUUAACCAUCUUUGAUCAACAAGCUAGUCAAGUAGAGGCUCACUAGGAACAAAGUGUUUGUCUAUGUAUUCACACAUGUAUUUAGGUUUUCGGUCAAUACAAUUCUAGCAUGAAUAAUAAACAUUUAUCGUGAAUAAGGAAAUAUAAAAUAACAACUUUAUUAUUGCCUCUAGGUCAUAUUUACUUCAGGCUCGACGGAGGAUGUGUGAUGAUGGACACACGCAUGGCGGUGGCGAUGUUUGGUGCCAUGGCGCCAUUGACGGCUGGCCGGUCUAGCAAGGAUGAUGCAGAUUUCUUCUUGGAUAUGGAUCAUCGGUUCGAUGGUGGUGGUGGCUUCUGAGGUGUGUGCAUGUGGUGUACACUUUGGGUUAGUUGCACCGGGUGUAUGCUCCUGGUACAUCAUGCGAGCGGAUAGGAGUUCUAGAUGUUGGGGAGUGAUGACACUCCCCAUUAUUAAGUGUGUAAGUGUGAGUGGUGGACUCGGGUUGUUUUAUGUAUGUUCUUGUCAGACCUUUGUUGAAUAAUUGAAUAAAGAUGGAUGUGUGCAUCUAUUUAUGCCGAGGCUUGGGGUUUCAACCUCCUUUUUGAAAAAACUAUUUGACCAAAUCAAUGAGGCCAUACAUGGGUAUUCAACUAGGAGAGAAAUGUGAGUAAACUCCAUGCAAUGCAUUCAACAACAAAGAACGUCGCGUGAAUAACGGCAUCGACAGGUUCAACCAAUGAAGGUUGUACCUAGAGUUCUACCCCUAGAACUUGAGAUCAUGCACUCAUAGAGCACCACCAAGUCGAUGUUGCCCUAUGCGGCCAUCACCUACUGAUCCGUCAUUGCACAGCGGCGUAGACGCACAAUCCAAACGUGGACCUAGCCACAAAGAUAGAACCAUGUCCAUCCAACACUUGCUACUGAGAAGCACAUAAGAAUGCCCGUCAUCCCCGCCGAUCCCAUGCCACUAAAGGCCUGACUACCGACACAGAGCCAAUUUGGACCACUCACACCGAGCACCUUGGCCAAGGGUGGAAUCCCGGCAUCAAGCAAAAGUUGAGUCGCCACAUGUCAUCUUGGACCAUGUAGAGCACUCAAAAUCUCCGCAUCGAGCGGGAGACAUCCAUUGUCUGAAGCACGCCGCCAUGAACCUUGAAUAAGAGGCUAAACCCAUUGAUCUUACGCCUCGCAGAGAUGGUUAGCAGCAUGGGGUCGCGCCGCCAUGUGCAAAAUAACCAAUGUGCACGCAACUAUACAAUCACAAAUUGCCUCCAUACAAGGACCAGGAAGAUGCAUUGCCAUCGUGAAUCACCAUCACCAUUGUUGAUGCAAUGACCGGCAGCCACGCUUCCCAAUUGAAUAAUUAAAUUGUAUGAAGAUAUGUAAACUAUGUAAAUAGCGCUACUCCCUCCACUCCAACAUAUUCAGUGUGCAUGCUCUACCCUAAUAAACAAGUUGAGCAUGCAACCAGUUAUGUUUACAAACUGAUAAAACCAGUUUUUAUGCGACUUGAGGCUUAUUGUGUUUGUUGCUACCGUUAAAGAGCUAUCUCUUUGCAAUCUUUGGCUUUUCUUCUAUGCAACCACCCUUUGGCAAUUGUGUCCUUAGCAACAAGUGGUCUUGCAUUCCAAAGGCAAUGCAAUUAGCUUAGUUUGGAUGUUUAGAUUAAGAGUUCCUAGUGUCCAUUUCUGCUUUCAUGUUACUGGAUAUCUUAGUUCCCUGAAUCAUAAUUAUUCCGCAAGAAGUUCUGAAACAAUGUAGCUUGCAUGGAUUGGAAAAUACAUUGUCUCUGCUGCUUUAAUCUAGCUGCAAUUACCAUUAUAGUUUGUCUGGUGUCCUCCAAAUGUCCACAAAGCGGCUCAGAGAAGUAACGAGCAGGAGCACUAUGUUUUUUUAGGAAAAGAAGGAGCACUGGUGUGUCCUAGAUCUACCGACCAAUUUGGUCUUGCGUGUCAGUUUUGUGUGGUGUUGUUUUAUCGUAAAAAAAAGACAGGUUCAUGCAAGAGCGCCGAGGUGCGCCCCAGAUCUUAGUGUGGGUCACUGGUGGAAGAGCAUCAAGGAAAGAAAUGGCAAGAGGCCAGGGCACAAGAGCAAUACCGACUUCUAUGUUUUCGCAUCAAUUUCCCCCAACGCCUCCUAUUCUUAAGUAAGACACGCAUCCAGACUCCGAUUCUUAGUCACAUGCUCUUUCAUUUUUGGCUUCUUGACAUGGCUACUAGGUACCACUUCACUAGACCGUUUUCUCUCCUAGGUUCCUGCUUUGGCUGCUACCGCUCCACUAUUCUACAUGGUUUGAUGAAUCAAUAGUACAUGGUGAAGAGGCAGACAUGGUUGGUAUAUAAAGACAUCAAAAGGUAUUGAUGGUUGAUAAGAUCUACAACAAAAAGGUAUGUGGGUGCAUUUCAUUCGCUUAGACUCUUCAAGAUAAUUAACUGAGAGCACCUCUGUAUUUAUGCACAUGAAUAGAGCAUACACAAAGUGGCAUCAUAGUAUUACUAACGAACAUGUGGUAGGUAUGGAGUCACUCCAGAUAGAUUUUUUUAACAUAUGCCUUAUACUCAUUCAAAUAUCACUUUAAGAUUUCUAGCUAGCCAUUUUUCCGAGAAGGGGAGUACUUCAGCCUCUACAUCACAUGAUGCACACAUGCAUACUAUUAAACAUGGAAUAAGUUCAAGUAACUGAGUACUAGAUGGUAAAACAAAUAAACGGAAAACACGACCACAUGCGGUCGAACCAGAGAUUAUCUAGCUCAUUCACAUAAUCUACGAGUGGCUCGUCAGCCAAACUGGUUGAACAAACCCUGUGCAACCAUUUCCAGCUGACUGCCUCCAGAGGCCAUAAGCGCUCACGUCCACACACUGCAGUGAUGACCACAUGCAAAUUAAAGUCAUAGGUUUGUAGAUAACCUGCAAUAAACUAGGAGAAGACAAUAUCUUUAAGACGUAAUCAUUCCAGCAAUUUCAUAUUGCCUAGAGAAUGGCAUAAACUCCCACACGAAUUUGGCCCUUCAGCAUAUGAUGAAUACCACCUAACCAGUUACUAAAAAAAUUGAAAUACUCGUUGGUGGUGCUAAAUUGUAUGUAACAUGAACCAUGCACCAGAUCAAGGUAGUAAACGGGCAUGACAAAAAUAAGUGAUGAAUUGUCUCCUCCUAAUCACAAAAAAAACAUUUUUGCUGUCAUGCCAGUUACACUUAGCAAGGUUAUCUUUGGUAAGAACUACAUCCCUCCGCAAAAUCCACACAAGAACUUCGAUCUUGCAAGGAACCUUUGUUUCCAAAUAUGCUUUCUGGGAAAAAUAGGUCCAGAAUCUAUGAGAUCCGCAUACAUAGACUUCAUAGUGAAGACACCAUUAGUGGUUAAUCUCCACUCGAAUUAAUCUUCCAUCUGAGUUAGAUUAAUUGACAUCAAUCUAGAACUCAAAUGCAUCCACUUAGUUCAUUUGUCACCCAGCAACGCCCUAAAAUAUUGGAUGUUCAAAGGGCCGCCCCGAAGAUCAGAAGCCACUGAAUCCUCUUUUCUGAACACAAAAGUAUACAUGGUCGAGUAUUGUAGAACUAAUGGCAUGUCACCCGACCAGGUAUCAUCCCAAUAACUCGUCGAUUGGUCAUCACCAAUCUUUAAGGAACCUCUCUUAAAAAAGGAUGAUUUGACAUUCAUCAAGCCUAUAGACCGGCAGUCCACGUCCUACCCCCUCCCCACCCCUUGCACCCCCCUGCCCCGCGCAGGAUGAUGCUUCCAGGAUAGGGUCGUCGUCGGUCGAAGCAUCACCAGACGCCGCUUGAUCCUUGCCGCAUUGGUUGCCUGAGCUCGUCAAUUCACUUCAAUGCUCGCCACCAUCGCAGCAUGUGGGUGCAAAACUAUCAUGUGCAUCAUCGGCUCACUCUGUAGGUUCUCCUGUCGCCGAUUGAAGCUUUUUUAAUCUACUGUUGAAGUUUUUGUGUCAAUGUAGCAGCUUUUUUGGUUGCGCGGUGCCCUGGUUGAAGCUUUUCUGUAAACGGUUGCAGCUUUUUCUGGUUGAGCAGUGAUUGAUUGAAGUUUUCUACAUCGUCAGUUGAAGCUUUUUCUGUCAAUGGUUGCAACACUGCAAUCGGUGGUUUCAACAUCGCCUUUGUCGGUCACGCGCCAUCGCUCGCGUUGGUUGCAAGCAAAAGGAUCCUAUAGUCCUAGCAUGUCAAGCCUCUGUUUCAGCACCCGCCCAUCACUCUUGCAGCAUGUUCCCCCGGCACAUUUGCAUCUCGUGUGUGGUAGAGUUGAGGAUUGCGUGUGAGGGAGAGGAAUAAGGAGGCACUGGUUGUGGCCGUUUCUCCGCCCCAUGAUGGUUCGCCCUAGUAGCAGGUGGCGGUGGUUGGUCUGCAGCAGCAGCACCCCAAUUCGCCCGACGGGUCGCGAUGGUGAGGGAAGAGAAGGCGAGCAACAUGUCCUGAAAAGGUAGAAGAAAGGAGUGUUGCUUAUGUAUAAGAAACGAGAGGUGGGGUAGGGCAUGGAAUAAAACAAAGGGGAGCGCAUGAUGGUGGGAUCUGACGUCGCUCGAGUGACCGACGCAAGCCGUGAUCAGUCAGCCAGGAGGAAUCAUUAGCAUCAAUAAAUUGUGAAACCCGCCAUAAAAUAAUAGUAUAUGUUUCCAAUGCCAAUAAAAAGUAACACAUCCAAUGGUAUUUAACAUCGAUAAAAUGGCCAAAUAAAACAUACGCCAACCAGAAAUAUCACAAGUACCGUUGCGCCUUGGGCCGUCGACAGAAGGCUUGGUGGGGAAAACCUCGGCGCGCCAAGUGAUUCGAUGUGCAACACCUCUAAUAUUUAUUUGUGUCUAAUAUUGUCAGGACAAACCUCUCGCCAAGCGGAAUAUAUUUUUCAGUAUUUUGGGUGUGAAUGAUGAACAAUCAAUGCGGGGAGAAAUAUUUGCAACAUGUCAUAUGGUUCUCCCUAUUUUUUGUAGUAUUUUCAAAGGGGUUUUCCCCCGGGCAUACGAGUGAACUAUUAAGCCGUGAAAAAAAUGACUUGCAAUCGUGCAAUAUCCAUGGUUUCUUACAACUUGUUUACUUAUAUUUUUCACUAGAGAAAAUCAAACGAUGCAUGGUUUAUUUGCAAUGAAUCAAGUGUUUUAAAAUACACAUGAUCUUUGGGGAACUCGCAUUUCACAAGCACUCAACAUUCUUGCAAUUUAUCAAGUGCUUUAAAUACAAAUUAUCUUUGGGGAGCUUGCAUUUCACAAGCACUCACGCUUCAUACGCAUAUCCUCACCAGUCACCAAAUACUUUCCCUAGAUUUGGAGGCAAACGGCGCACGAUGCCUCUCCAACUUCUAGCCAUAUCCCACUAUCUUCCAUCUCUCUUAUCGAACUCUCGGGGAGGGGAAUGACCACGAGAAUAACACAUGAAAGGGGUGAACACAACACAAAGAGGGGUUGCUCACUGGGAAGCUCAAUACUCCUUGUGUUCGCACAUGUGGCCGUGGAAGGAACUUCAUAGCCAAAUCAAGAGGAUGGCAAAGUCGUUGGGCUAGAAGGAGCAGACGUAAGAGGCCGGAGCACAAAACGGUGACCUUUUUCAAGCCUUUUCCGCCAAUUUUCCCCAAUGCUUCCUAUUCCUAAGACACACAUGAAAGUUUCUAGCUACGUCUUCUUCCAUUUUGCCUUUUCGUUUUUUGACACCGCUGCUACGUACCAUAUCAGUAGACCACUUUCUCUCCUUGGUGCUUUCCUUUGGCUGCUAGCACCUCACUAUUGUAUACUGUUUGAUGAAUCAAUAGUGUGUAGCGAAGACUCAAACAUGGGUGGUAUAUAAAGGGAGCAAAAGGUGCAUUCAUGGUUGAGGAGAUGCGCAACGAGAGGUGCAUUUCAUUCGGUCAGACUCUUCAAGAUACUUAACUGAGAGCGCUUCUGUGUUUGUGCACAUGAACAGAGCAUAUGUGAAAUAACAUCAUGCUAUUAUUGACAAAAAUCCAGUAGGUGUGGAGUCACUCUCAAUAGAUUUUGCAACUUGCCUUGUACUAUUACAAACAUUACAUUAGGAUCCCUAGCUAGCUAUGAGCCUGUUCACUGCAACAACAAAUGGGUCAGCAUUCCAGCUGCACACACAAAAAAAAAGUUAUGAAUUUUCCGAGGAAAAAAAUGUUAAUCUAUACAGGUAAAGGUUCCUCCUUCAAAACACCCCCCAUUUCCAUUCUCCAGGACCGGUCUACC
Molecule: long non-coding RNA, 30477 nt
Filed under: Triticum aestivum (bread wheat)
Lineage: Eukaryota; Viridiplantae; Streptophyta; Magnoliopsida; Poales; Poaceae
Description: long non-coding RNA (TAES_LNC026196)
Source: RNAcentral